Humulus lupulus (European hop) is the source of this 612-nucleotide long non-coding RNA. RefSeq lists it as uncharacterized. The transcript is spliced from 3 exons. Lineage: Eukaryota; Viridiplantae; Streptophyta; Magnoliopsida; Rosales; Cannabaceae. The record is from RefSeq and is a predicted model, not a curated record.
UUAAUUUUAAGGUACAUGUACUUGAUGAGUCGAUGACAAAGUUGCAUUUAUUUCUUGGUCGACAGUUGGGGAAUAGCUCAGGUAUUUAUGAAUUUUGGGGACUUGAGAUGGGGCAAUGUCUUUCUUUGGUUCAUACCUGGAUUCUGAAACUGUUCUACAUAAAAGUUGAGGAGACAAAGGGGGAGCUUCAGUCCCACACUAUUUACUAGGUCUGUCCCUGCAUAAUAAAAUUCAAUGAUAUUUUCUAGGUUGUUUUGUUGCAGUGGUGCUUCACUUUAUUCAAGUGAUCAUCAUCCUGAUGGACUUUGCCAGCAAGAUCAGCAUUUGAAAACAUAAAAGAAAGUAUACUACUAUUGUUUUUUUUUUCUUUCCAACGGAUUAUGCUAUUUCAAAUUGGAGGUGGUUCCUGAUAUCUUUUUGCAAUGUUAUUAGAAGUUAGAUUGAAUCUUUAGUGAAGCUGAAGGAGACGUUUCAUAAUUGUAAAGAUCCAGAAAAUGAUAUUGUGCUGAAGAUACAAAGGUUAAUUCAUUGCACUAUUUCCUUUAAAAAUCAUGAUCACAAAGAUUGAUUAAUUUCCUUGCAUAUUCUGUACUAUGCAUUGAAACUUCUAUU